UGCAGGAAGAGAUCUUUCAGCUUGUGGGAGCCCCUCUUGUAGAGAACUGUCUGGCUGGAUUUAAAAGUUCUGUUUUUGCCUAUGGACAGCCAUUGGGAACUAUUCAUUUUCCGAGUGGGAGGCUAUUCCAUGGGGUCUUGAAGGUGUUCUUGCGUAUCUAAAGCAGAGCUAUAACAAUCCUCCGAUCUACAUUCUUGAAAAUGGUAAACCGAUGAUACACGACUCGAUGAUGAGAAAAACCCUUAUCUACCAAAGCACAUUCUAUACAGGCAGAAAGAACAGUUCAGUGAUGGAGUAGGAUACAGCUGGAUUGAUGGUCGAAAAGAUCAUGCAAACAAACAUGUCUCUGACACAAUGCUGAUGAACGCAAGCUUUGUCUUCCCUGAUAACACACCUAUGACAAAAGAAGCUUACUACUACAGAACCAUCUUUGAAAAGUUCUUCCCUAAGAGUGCAGCUAGAGCGACUGUACCAGGAGGUCCAAGUGUGGCAUGUAGUACAGCAAAAGCUGUAGAGUGGGACGCAGCUUGGUCACAGAAUCUUGAUCCGUCAGGUCGUGCGGCUCUUGGAGUUCAUGUUGCAGCUUAUGAGGGAGAAGAUAAAGCAGAAGAUCCUCGUCCGGGGAAGGUGCAGAAACUAGCAGAGAAGACUGCAGGGAUUGUUUGAGAAUAAGCAAGGUUUAAAAGCUACCGUACUACUUAUCCUCUUUUGUAGGAUUGAUGACUGAAUAGGCAAUCUUUAUUCUUUCCUUCUGGGGUUUUGCAACACUCCAUGGAGACUGAGUUGAGUUAGCCCUGAAUUGUGUACCUAAAUAAUAAGUUGCUGGUGAAUUUCUGUUUUCUACAGUUGUUAGACUAUGACUAUCCAUGAAAGCUUGAUGCUACUUGAGAUUAUUAACGUUGUUUUCAUGAAUUCGAUUCUUCCUAAUUUUUUU
Molecule: non-coding RNA, 934 nt
Organism: Camelina sativa (false flax)
Lineage: Eukaryota; Viridiplantae; Streptophyta; Magnoliopsida; Brassicales; Brassicaceae
Source: RefSeq, a predicted model, not a curated record